RNA transcript from Rhododendron vialii, 1749 nucleotides. It is a transcript of the gene named peptidyl-prolyl cis-trans isomerase CYP40-like, with no coding region annotated. The record is from RefSeq and is a predicted model, not a curated record. The transcript has 10 exons. Lineage: Eukaryota; Viridiplantae; Streptophyta; Magnoliopsida; Ericales; Ericaceae.
ACUGCCACCAGUCAACUCUGAACGGAGAAUGUCGUCGUUUUCCAUUUCUCUCUCUCACUGUGUCCAAACCAGUAGCCCAGUACCCUACGCCUUCUGUCUGUUGUUAUUGUGGAGUACAAAACAAAACAAAAAACAAAUGCGCACUGCGUAUCUUAGCAUCAGCCCCUGCGAUUCGUAUCCCAGGCCUUUUCAUUUCAAAACGGAAACAGGGGUUUAGGGUUUUACACUGUUUUCGUUGCUUCAUCCUUUAUCGAGAGAGAGAGAGAGAGAGAAUGGUGAACCCGAGGUGCUUCCUGGACAUAAGCAUUGGAGGAGAGGUGGAAGGGAGGAUAGUGGUGGAGCUUUACAAAGAUGUCGUCCCCAAAACGGCCGAGAACUUCAGGGCUCUCUGUACCGGUGAGAAGGGCAUUGGCCCUAACACCGCCGCUCCCCUCCAUUUCAAGGGUUCCUGUUUUCAUCGCAUCAUAAAAGGCUUCAUGAUACAUGGUGGAGACAUAUCUGCUGGGAAUGGCACCGGUGGAGAAUCCAUCUAUGGCCUGAAAUUUGAAGAUGAAAAUUUUGAGCUAAAGCAUGAAAGAAAAGGAAUGCUCUCAAUGGCUAAUGAUGACAGUCCAAAUACCAAUGGAUCUCAGUUUUUUAUUACUACCACUCGAACUUCUCAUUUGGAUGGAAAGCAUGUUGUUUUUGGGAAGGUAAUCAAAGGGAUGGGGGUGGUUCGUUUGAUUGAGCAUGUAACUACGGGUGAAUAUUAUUAUCCAACUCUUGACGUUGUAAUAGCGAAUUGUGGAGAAAUUGCUGAGGGGGCGGAUGAUGGGAUCUCUAACUUCUUUAAAGAUGGUGAUGUGUACCCUGAUUGGCCAGCUGACCUUGAUGUCAAGACAGAUAAAAUUUCUUGGUGGAUGACUGCUGUAGACUCCAUUAAAGCUUUUGGAAAUGAACAUUUCAAGAAACAAGAUUAUAAAAUGGCUCUUAGGAAGUAUCGUAAGGCUCUGAACUUCUUAGAUGUAUGCUGGGAUAUGGAAGACAUGGAUCAAGAGAAAAGCUCAUCUUUGAGGAAGACAAAGUCUCAGAUAUUUACAAAUAGCUCUGCCUGCAAAUUGAAAUUAGGAGAUUUAGAAGGAGCAUUAUUGGACACGGACUUCGCAUUGCGUGAUGCAGAUGAUAAUGUGAAAGCUUUGUUCCGCCAAGGCCAGGCAUACAUGGCACUUAAUGAUGUGGAUGCUGCAGUCGAAAGUUUCAAAAAAGCAUUGGAGUUGGAGCCAAAUGAUGGUGGUAUAAAGAAAGAGCUCACUGCUGCAAAGAAGAGAAUUGUUGAUAGACGUGACCAGGAGAAAAAAGCUUACUCAAAAAUGUUUCAGUAGAGUUCAUGCAGUAACAUGGUAUAUUGGGAAUGGUCUAAUUUUCAACCUUUAGGUCACAUGCUACAUCAGAUAGGCUCGGCUUCAGGCUUUUUCAUAUGGAGACUUUGAUUGGCUUUAAGAGGCCAAAGGUUUUGUUGGAAAGCAAAGAAACCUUAUGGCGUUAUCAGAUAGUUGAACGGCAACUGUGGUAGGCUUAAAGCUCGAAUCACAUAGUGUCCUGAACAUUUUUGUUACUCCUAAAGAUAGUUGUAGCACUUCAUUAAAUUCCAUUACAAGCUGAAAUUAGUUAAUAUCUGAUUGAUUAUAUCUGUAUCAUCCAAACAGUCUUGUUAUCUACCAUACUAGAAAAGUUCAGAUGCAAGCAAGAAUGGAUGGUUUCAAGAAGUAA